AUACUUUUUUAACUAAACCAUAAUAUCCCAAGUAUGGAAACUACUGCUCAUUAGCAGAAGCCCAAAGAGGUCAACUACCUAGUAGCCCAGGAUCACACAGGCAGUGAUUAGAACCAGGACUAACUAAAAGCUAGGUCUCCAGUUCUGGACUUAAAAUUCUCCUUGUUGUUGUUCUUAAAAUUCUGAGUUCUCUUCCAUAAUAGG
Long non-coding RNA from Lutra lutra (Eurasian river otter), 204 nucleotides. RefSeq lists it as uncharacterized. Lineage: Eukaryota; Metazoa; Chordata; Mammalia; Carnivora; Mustelidae. The record is from RefSeq and is a predicted model, not a curated record. The transcript is spliced from 2 exons.